CUACGGGGCGCAGCAGUCAAGAAUCUUCCUCAAUGGACGAAAGUCUGAAGGAGCAAUGCCGCGUGAUCGAUGAAGCUCUUCGGAGUGUAAAGAUCUUUUAUCAGGGACGAAUCCGUGACGGUACCUGAUGAAUAAGUCACUGCUAACUUCGUGCCAGCAGCAGCGGUAAUACGAAGGUGGCAAGCGUUACCCGGAUUAACUGGGCGUAAAGCGUCCGCAGACGGUCUAAUUAGUUUUUAGUUAAAUCCGAAGGCUUAACCUCCGGACCGCUAAAAAUACUGUUAGACUAGAGGCUGGGAGAGGCAAGCAGAAUUACUGGUGUAGUAGUUAAAUGCGUUAAUAUCAGUAAGAAUACCGAAAGCGAAGGCAGCUUGCUAGAACAGUCCUGACGUUCAGGGACGAAAGCGUGGGGAGCGAAUGGGAUUAGAUACCCCGGUAGUC
RNAcentral lists this ribosomal RNA (441 nucleotides) under uncultured bacterium. Its description in RNAcentral is "partial 16S ribosomal RNA". It matches the Rfam family "Bacterial small subunit ribosomal RNA", at positions 339 to 795 of the family's 1533-position model. The record is from RNAcentral.